RNAcentral lists this ribosomal RNA (414 nucleotides) under uncultured fungus. RNAcentral describes it as "eukaryotic LSU rRNA". The stretch from base 76 to 229 matches the Rfam family "5.8S ribosomal RNA". The record is from RNAcentral. Lineage: Eukaryota; Fungi.
UACUAUUUUUACACCAUUUUAACACCUUGGUAUUAAGAAUGUAAUCAGUCUCUUAGUUGAGCAUAAAUAAUAUAAAACUUUCAACAACGGAUCUCUUGGUUCUGGCAUCGAUGAAGAACGCAGCGAAAUGCGAUAAGUAAUGUGAAUUGCAGAAUUCAGUGAAUCAUCGAAUCUUUGAACGCACAUUGCGCCCUUUGGUAUUCCGAAGGGCAUGCCUGUUCGAGCGUCAUUUUCAACCAUCAAGCCCGGCUUGUAAUUGGGUCCUUUAUCGUUAAACAGAUAGGCCCGAAAGAUAAUGGCGGCGUCAAGAUUAGACCCCAGGUGCAGCGAGCUUUUGUUAAGCAUACACUGAGGUGGUCGUCUUGUCCUGGCCUUGAAAACACAUUUUUCUAAGGUUGACCUCGGAUCAGGUAG